ACGUUGGCGGCGUGCGUAACACAUGCAAGUCGAACGAGAACCGGGGAGCUUGCUCCCCGGGGACAGUGGCGAACGGGUGAGUAACACGUGAGUAAUCUGCCCUCGAGCGGGGGAUAACUCCGCGAAAGCGGAGCUAAUACCGCAUGAAACUUUGGAGCAUAAGCUUUCAAAGUCAAAGCUUUCGGGUGCUUGAGGAUGAGCUCGCGGCCUAUUAGCUUGUUGGUAGGGUAACGGCCUACCAAGGCAACGAUGGGUAGCCGGCCUGAGAGGGUGUUCGGUCACACUGGGACUGCGACACGGCCCAGACUCCUACGGGAGGCAGCAGUGGGGAAUUUUGCGCAAUGGGCGAAAGCCUGACGCAGCGACGCCGCGUGGAGGAUGAAGGUUUUCGGAUUGUAAACUCCUGUCAGAGGUGAAGAAAGCCCUUAUGGGUCUGACGGUAACCUCAGAGGAAGCCCCGGCUAACUACGUGCCAGCAGCCGCGGUAAUACGUAGGGGGCAAACGUUGCUCGGAAUUACUGGGCGUAAAGGGUGCGCAGGUGGCUGAGAAAGUCGUUGAUGAAAUCCCGGGGCUUACCCCCGGAACUGUCUUCGAUACUUCUCAGCUUGAGGAUAGUCGAGGAGAACGGAAUUCCCGGUGGAGCGGUGAAAUGCGUAGAUNUCGGGAGGAACACCAGAGGCGAAGGCGGUUCUCUAGGCUGAUCCUGACACUGAGGUACGAAAGCUAGGGGAGCGAACGGGAUUAGAUACCCCGGUAGUCCUAGCUGUAAACGAUGGGCACUAGAUGUUUCCGCGUCUCAGCGGGAGUGUCGAAAGUUACGCGAUAAGUGCCCCGCCUGGGGAUUA
RNAcentral lists this ribosomal RNA (846 nucleotides) under uncultured organism. RNAcentral's name for it is "bacterial SSU rRNA". It matches the Rfam family "Bacterial small subunit ribosomal RNA", at positions 33 to 882 of the family's 1533-position model. The record is from RNAcentral.